UGGACGCAGCCUGAUGCAGCCAUGCCGCGUGUAUGAAGAAGGCCUUCGGGUUGUAAAGUACUUUCAGCGGGGAGGAAGGGAGUAAAGUUAAUACCUUUGCUCAUUGACGUUACCCGCAGAAGAAGCACCGGCUAACUCCGUGCCAGCAGCCGCGGUAA
Molecule: ribosomal RNA, 158 nt
Filed under: uncultured Gammaproteobacteria bacterium
Lineage: Bacteria; Pseudomonadati; Pseudomonadota; Gammaproteobacteria
Description: partial 16S ribosomal RNA
Rfam family: Bacterial small subunit ribosomal RNA
Source: RNAcentral